UGGGGAAUAUUGCACAAUGGGCGAAAGCCUGAUGCAGCGACGCCGCGUGAGGGAUGACGGCCUUCGGGUUGUAAACCUCUUUCACCAGGGACGAAGCGGAAGUGACGGUACCUGGAGAAGAAGCACCGGCUAACUACGUGCCAGCAGCCGCGGUAAUACGUAGGGUGCGAGCGUUGUCCGGAAUUAUUGGGCGUAAAGAGCUUGUAGGCGGUUUGUCGCGUCUGCUGUGAAAGACCGGGGCUUAACUCCGGUUCUGCAGUGGGUACGGGCAGGCUAGAGUAUGGUAGGGGAGACUGGAAUUCCUGGUGUAGCGGUGAAAUGCGCAGAUAUCAGGAGGAACACCGAUGGCGAAGGCAGGUCUCUGGGCCAUUACUGACGCUGAGAAGCGAAAGCAUGGGGAGCAAACA
RNAcentral lists this ribosomal RNA (407 nucleotides) under uncultured prokaryote. RNAcentral describes it as "bacterial SSU rRNA". It matches the Rfam family "Bacterial small subunit ribosomal RNA", at positions 355 to 774 of the family's 1533-position model. The record is from RNAcentral.